Long non-coding RNA from Oncorhynchus tshawytscha (Chinook salmon), 625 nucleotides. NCBI's taxonomy places the organism in Eukaryota, Metazoa, Chordata, Actinopteri, Salmoniformes, Salmonidae. The record is from Ensembl.
CCAUAUUAGCGGGUUUUUGUUUGGCACAUUGUCACUAAGCAGUGGCUAGCUAACUAACGCUACAUAAACAUGUGUCUUAACGACAACGUGCCUAAAUAGUUGGCUUCCAAUUAAAAUAUGGAAACAUUGGCAGUAUCCAAUAUUACUUUAAAGGGGGAAACGCUUAAUUGGCGCAGGAGUUAAUUUUGAAUGUGAUAUUCAAUUUCAUACAUGGCGUAUUGGGGUUUUGCUAGCUUGACCACGUUGGCGAACUAGGUUUCAUGGCGCACAUGUGGAGGAAGAAGCGUAUGCGCAGGCUGAAGCGUAAAAGGCGAAAGAUGAGGCAGAGGUCCAAGUAGACUGGCCCAUUCCCCUACUGCUGUGAUUGUUUUUCUCCACCCACUCCAAGCCCUCUGAAGCCAGCGGUCCAUGAUUUGAAGAGCUGAACCAUGGUGGUCUGAAGCUGGCCUCGUUGGUGUGAAGGACAGAUUCUGCCUACCCAGCCCUCUACUCUGCCAAUGGCUCCUGGCCGUUGACUUCUGCUAGAAUCUCUCCUGUCAUUAAACUCUGGCCUUUUACCACCUGCACAGCUGUUGUAAAGACCAUAAUAAAUAUUUGGUUUACUAACUACAUUACAGUCUCUGUA